Molecule: unclassified non-coding RNA, 825 nt
Filed under: Orbicella faveolata
Lineage: Eukaryota; Metazoa; Cnidaria; Anthozoa; Scleractinia; Merulinidae
Description: uncharacterized LOC110060441, transcript variant X1
Source: RNAcentral
UUGUUCUCAGCGGUGGUUACCGUAAAUAGUUACUCAAGGGUGUAAUGCAAACAUUAUUUUACGUUUUCGACUUCAACGGACAUUUCAGUCAGUCGCAGUCUGUGGUCAACAAGGGUUGAGCUUUGAGAAAGAAGUUUGCUAACUUGACACGCAAAGAGGCGAAGAACUCCAAGAAAGAUUCGACAGAGAUGCCUGAAUACACUCGAGAGAGCUGUGCACCCUUGGGGAAAGAAUUUUUUGACUCAAUGGACCGUGUUGACGAAGGAGCAUUGGCAAGACUCAUAGUUGAAAUGCAGUUGAACACGUUACAAGAUUUGCCGGACCUUCGCACGCUUUUCUUCAGAAGAAAGCAACAGCAGAAGAACUACGUUGCGUCGCAGUACGGGAGGAUACAAGCUUACCGCAUUCAACAGCAAUAUUCGUCCCCUGUUCAUGGAUCGAAACCAUGGCCCAUGCAUGCUUGACAUGUCACGAUCGUCGUUAGAAGUCUCGUGAAUACCACAAAAUGACCUCCGCAUAUUUGGUCGCGGACGAAACGCUUGUAAAUAGAAAGAAGAAUAUUUAUAUUGAAAAAUAUAAGGCAACUGGACGACAGCAGGACUGUUCAGCUCUAACUGCCGAGACUUUAUUCUGUAUUGGAAGCAGGAUAUUUUUUUCCAAGCCAAAAACAGUGAAAUGAGACACUGAGUUCUGUGACCAGUUUUGAAAAUAAAUUUUUCAAAUCUCUAAAAUAAUAUUCACAGACAAAACCACAGAAGGGACAAUAGUGACUCUGUUUGCAAUAUUCAAAUAUCGCUUAGAUUAAAACACAACGAAUUAUAGAUA